UAUUAGCUCUGAACUCUCAAAUGUCUGUAAUCAUAUUAUAUUUAAAGCUUGUCAGGCCAUUUUAUUAUUUUUUUUAAGAAUUCUUCUAACUUGGAAUAUUUAAAGGGUUUAACAGCAGUCAUUUAGACUUAGACAGAUCUUUGUUGUGUUCAUGCUUGUUUUUACGGACAGUAAUGUUAAACCCACACCGUGGUGUCUGAGCAGCUUUGAUUGCACAUUUGCAUUUCUUAAACUUUGGUUUAAGGCCACAAAAUUGAUGUUCAGCAAGCUUGUGUUCAGGAAAGCCAAACAGCAAUUCAGUUGCAGUUUAGCUUGUCAGACAUUUCACCCUUUAAAAUAUCCCAGUAUUGCAGUAUUAUUAUGUUUUUCCUCUUUGGGUGAUGUGUAGUUACACUAGUUAUAGAUCUCCCAGAGUCCUUUGAAUCGAUUUUAUUUAUUUAUCUUUAUUUGUUUAGCCCGACAGAUUUUGUAGACCAAAGUUUGGAUCCUUUAGUCCACAGAAAUCUGUUGAAUCGGUCACACUUCAGGAAAAAUUUGGCCAAACUCUCCAUUCUGCUAGUGCAGAGUAGUAGGCAGUAAAACAGGAGUUUAGUUAAAUUGGAUAAAGUGGACUAAGACAAAUGAGAUGGAGGUUAAGCAUCACUUUCCAUGUUGCAGAUGUCUGAGCCAAGUGUGCCGCUGUGGGACGGCUGCUCCUGUAGCACCAGCAGCUGCCGGCAGAGGGAGCAGGCACAAUGACUUUUCUGUUCAGGACCAUGAAGCACAGCGCAGCCAUGUCAGCAGCAUCAUAUUUAGAGAGGGACCCUGUAACCUCGCAGCUUGAGGUGAUAGACAGCUGAUGAACAGCGAGAGACAGUCUGAAGAGCCUGUUGAACAGACAUGAUUAAACAGGUCAGAGGAGUCCACCGUCAGAGGUCUAUCAGCGAACGUGAGAGGGACGAAAUGUGUCCAAGAGGGGAAGUAGAAGAAGAGGACAGAAAGAGGAAGAGGGAGGGUGGUAUUUUCAUUUCGCAGCAUCGUCGCCUUGGUGUGUGCAUGUUUUGUCCGUACAGUAAUGGCCCGGAUGGGACUGAACUGAGGGCUGAGAUGAAAAGCUCUUUGAUGGCUCAUCAGAGGACAGACAGACGGGAGUGAGCUCAUGGCCAUAACAGCUCACAUUGUUUUUAUUGCUGGUUUUCCCUGACCUCAUUAACUGACUUCUGUGGGUGUGUGUGUACAAACACUGCUGGCCUACAUGUUCAGCUUUGUGUUUUGGAAAUCAACCAUUUGUUUUUAUUUUUUAUUUUUGAUCUUUUGUGUUUCUGUUCCUCAGACAGUCAAACUUCAAAAGGAUUCUGUUUUCAUCCUCC
Molecule: long non-coding RNA, 1349 nt
Organism: Acanthopagrus latus (yellowfin seabream)
Lineage: Eukaryota; Metazoa; Chordata; Actinopteri; Spariformes; Sparidae
Exons: 3
Source: RefSeq, a predicted model, not a curated record